GACGAACGCUGGCGGCGUGCUUAACACAUGCGAGUCGAACGGAAAGGCCCCUUUGGGGGUACUCGAGUGGCGCACGGGUGAGUAACACGUGAGUAACCUGCCCUUGACUUCGGGAUAACUUCAGGAAACUGGGGCUAAUACCGGAUAGGAAUCCUUGCUGCAUGGUGGGGGUUGGAAAGCUUCGGCGGUUUUGGAUGGACUCGCGGCUUAUCAGCUUGUUGGUGGGGUAGUGGCUUACCAAGGCUUUGACGGGUAGCCGGCCUGAGAGGGCGACCGGCCACAUUGGGACUGAGAUACGGCCCAGACUCCUACGGGAGGCAGCAGUGGGGAAUAUUGCACAAUGGGCGGAAGCCUGAUGCAGCAACGCCGCGGGCGGGAUGACGGCCUUCGGGUUGUAAACCGCUUUCAGCAGGGGCGAAGCUUGUGGUGACGGUACCUGCAGAAGAAGCACCGGCUAACUACGUG
RNAcentral lists this ribosomal RNA (465 nucleotides) under uncultured bacterium. RNAcentral describes it as "partial 16S ribosomal RNA". It matches the Rfam family "Bacterial small subunit ribosomal RNA", at positions 28 to 507 of the family's 1533-position model. The record is from RNAcentral.